AACGCACCUUGCGCUCUCGGGUUAUUCCUGGGAGCAUGCUUGCUUGAGUGUCGCGUACCUCUCAACCCCGCCCUUCUUUGGAAGUGGCCGUCAGGGUUUUGGAUCAUGGCGCGUGCGAUUGAUUUCGCUGCGCUGAAAUGCAACAAGCUGGAUCUCUAGGUCGUGCGGCUUGACCCGUUGUUGUAAUACUUUAAACCAAUGGGAACGCAUGAGAAAGGGAAGGGGCUUUUGAAAACCGUACAAGUGCAUUUUGACCUCAAUUCAAGCAGGACUACCCGCUGAACUUAA
Molecule: unclassified non-coding RNA, 288 nt
Filed under: uncultured fungus
Lineage: Eukaryota; Fungi
Description: partial contains 5.8S ribosomal RNA, internal transcribed spacer 2, and large subunit ribosomal RNA
Source: RNAcentral